AGAUAUGUAUUUAAAUUAUAAACUCUAACUUGCAAUUAGAAAUUACUUUCCGGUCUUAUCUA
RNAcentral lists this transfer RNA (62 nucleotides) under Macrocheles muscaedomesticae. RNAcentral's name for it is "tRNA-Ala". The record is from RNAcentral. Lineage: Eukaryota; Metazoa; Arthropoda; Arachnida; Mesostigmata; Macrochelidae.